This 688-nucleotide ribosomal RNA is filed under the name uncultured bacterium. Its description in RNAcentral is "bacterial SSU rRNA". It matches the Rfam family "Bacterial small subunit ribosomal RNA", at positions 338 to 1020 of the family's 1533-position model. The record is from RNAcentral.
CCUACGGGGGGCAGCAGUCGAGAAUAAUUCACAAUGGGGGCAACCCUGAUGGUGCAACGCCGCGUGGAGGAUGACGGUCUUCGGAUUGUAAACUCCUGUCAUCUGGGAGUAAGACCUGGCGAUGAAUAGUCGACAGGGUUGAUAGUACCAGAAGAGGAAGGGACGGCUAACUUCGUGCCAGCAGCCGCGGUAAUACGAAGGUCCCAAGCGUUGUUCGGAAUCACUGGGCGUAAAGGGAGCGUAGGCGGCGUGGUAAGUCAGAUGUGAAAUCCCGGGGCUCAACCCCGGAACUGCAUCCGAUACUGCCAUGCUAGAGGAUUGGAGAGGUAGCUGGAAUUCUUGGUGUAGCAGUGAAAUGCGUAGAGAUCAAGAGGAACACUCGUGGCGAAAGCGAGCUACUGGACAAUUCCUGACGCUGAGGCUCGAAGGCUAGGGUAGCGAAAGGGAUUAGAUACCCCUGUAGUCCUAGCAGUAAACGGUGCACGCUUGGUGUGAGGGGAAUCGACCCCCCUUGUGCCGGAGCUAACGCGUUAAGCGUGCCGCCUGGGAAGUACGGUCGCAAGACUAAACUCAAAGAANUUGACGGGGACCCCCCNAGCGGUGGAGUAUGUGGCUUAAUUCGAUGCACNCGAAAANCNUNNCNAGGCUUGACAUGCAUCUCUNAACNCGUGAAAGCGUGUGACCCUUC